RNAcentral lists this ribosomal RNA (254 nucleotides) under uncultured prokaryote. Its description in RNAcentral is "partial 16S ribosomal RNA". It matches the Rfam family "Bacterial small subunit ribosomal RNA", at positions 524 to 776 of the family's 1533-position model. The record is from RNAcentral.
UACAGAGGGGGCAAGCGUUGUUCGGAAUUACUGGGCGUAAAGGGCGCGUAGGCGGCCGCUUAAGUCAGACGUGAAAUCCCUUGGCUCAACCAAGGAACUGCGUCUGAUACUGAGUGGCUCGAGUCCGGGAGAGGGAAGCGGAAUUCCAGGUGUAGCGGUGAAAUGCGUAGAUAUCUGGAGGAACACCGGUGGCGAAGGCGGCUUCCUGGACCGGUUACUGACGCUGAGGCGCGAAAGCCAGGGGAGCAAACGGG